This 124-nucleotide small RNA is filed under the name Klebsiella pneumoniae UHKPC69. RNAcentral describes it as "HgcC family RNA". The record is from RNAcentral. Lineage: Bacteria; Pseudomonadati; Pseudomonadota; Gammaproteobacteria; Enterobacterales; Enterobacteriaceae. RNAcentral also lists the same sequence under 16 other names.
GAGGGAUGAUACAGUCGGGCCGCCCGCUGAAGCAGGAACCCACCGAGGCGAGUCAGGCUCCGGUCUGAACGCUGUAGGAAUCCUCGCCCUUCAGGGCGGGGAGGAUGUCAACAAUUGCACCAGG